RNAcentral lists this ribosomal RNA (279 nucleotides) under uncultured bacterium. RNAcentral describes it as "partial 16S ribosomal RNA". It matches the Rfam family "Bacterial small subunit ribosomal RNA", at positions 506 to 784 of the family's 1533-position model. The record is from RNAcentral.
UGCCAGCAGCCGCGGUAAUACAGAGGGGGUUAGCGUUGUUCGGAAUUGCUGGGCGUAAAGCGCGCGUAGGCGGACUAUUAAGUCGAUUGUGAAAUCCCCGGGCUCAACCCGGGAACUGCAAUCGAUACUGCUUUGCUAGAGUUUAGUUGGGGAUAGUGGAAUUCCUAGUGUAGGGGUGAAAUCCGUAGAUAUUAGGAGGAAUACCGGUGGCGAAAGCGACUAUCUAAGCUAAUACUGACGCUGAGGUACGAAAGCGUGGGGAGCAAACAGGAUUAGAUA